GAUGAACGCUGGCGGCGUGCCUAAUACAUGCAAGUCGAGCGAACAGACGAGGAGCUUGCUCCUUUGACGUUAGCGGCGGACGGGUGAGUAACACGUGGGUAACCUACCUAUAAGACUGGGAUAACUUCGGGAAACCGGAGCUAAUACCGGAUAAUAUUUCGAACCGCAUGGUUCGAUAGUGAAAGAUGGCUCUGCUAUCACUUAUAGAUGGACCUGCGCCGUAUUAGCUAGUUGGUAAGGUAACGGCUUACCAAGGCAACGAUACGUAGCCGACCUGAGAGGGUGAUCGGCCACACUGGAACUGAGACACGGUCCAGACUCCUACGGGAGGCAGCAGUAGGGAAUCUUCCGCAAUGGGCGAAAGCCUGACGGAGCAACGCCGCGUGAGUGAUGAAGGUCUUCGGAUCGUAAAACUCUGUUAUUAGGGAAGAACAAACGUGUAAGUAACUGUGCACGUCUUGACGGUACCUAACCAGAAAGCCACGGCUAACUACGUG
RNAcentral lists this ribosomal RNA (497 nucleotides) under uncultured bacterium. Its description in RNAcentral is "partial 16S ribosomal RNA". It matches the Rfam family "Bacterial small subunit ribosomal RNA", at positions 28 to 507 of the family's 1533-position model. The record is from RNAcentral.